RNAcentral lists this transfer RNA (65 nucleotides) under Hemipyxis plagioderoides. RNAcentral's name for it is "tRNA-Gly". The record is from RNAcentral. Lineage: Eukaryota; Metazoa; Arthropoda; Insecta; Coleoptera; Chrysomelidae.
AUUCAUAUAAUAUAAAAAUUAUAUUUGACUUCCAAUCAAAAAAUCUAAUAACAUUAGUAUGAAUA